Molecule: ribosomal RNA, 491 nt
Filed under: uncultured bacterium
Lineage: Bacteria
Description: partial 16S ribosomal RNA
Rfam family: Bacterial small subunit ribosomal RNA
Source: RNAcentral
AUUGAACGCUGGCGGCAGGCUUAACACAUGCAAGUCGAGCGGUAACAGAGAGAAGCUUGCUUCUCUGCUGACGAGCGGCGGCCGGGUGAGUAAUGCCUAGGAAUCUGCCUAGUAGUGGGGGAUAACUUGCCGAAAGGUAAGCUAAUACCGCAUACGUCCUACGGGAGAAAGGAGGGGACCUUCGGGCCUUUCGCUAUUAGAUGAGCCUAGGUCGGAUUAGUUAGUUGGUGAGGUAAUGGCUCACCAAGACCGCGAUCCGUAACUGGUCUGAGAGGAUGAUCAGUCACACUGGAACUGAGACACGGUCCAGACUCCUACGGGAGGCAGCAGUGGGGAAUAUUGGACAAUGGGGGGGAACCCUGAUCCAGCCAUGCCGCGUGUGUGAAGAAGGUCUUAGGAUUGUAAAGCACUUUAAGUUGGGAGGAAGAGCAGUUAACUAAUAUUUGACUGUUUUGACGUUACCGACAGAAUAAGCACCGGCUAACUUCGUG